GUGUAGUGAACGGAUUAAUGACUACGCGCCAGUGACGUCGUGCGACGGAGCGCGGAGGGCGGGGCAAUAACGCCGCGUGCGCCACGUCGCAUCAUGCGGUAGCAUCGCUCUCUUUGCUUCGAGCUCGCGGCAGCGACGGACGUACUCUCUAGUGCUAAUAGAACGCGUACUUGUACUUGUGUUGAUACACAUUUAGUUGAUGUAAAUGAAUAAAUCUUGUAAGGU
Molecule: unclassified non-coding RNA, 225 nt
Filed under: Melitaea cinxia (Glanville fritillary)
Lineage: Eukaryota; Metazoa; Arthropoda; Insecta; Lepidoptera; Nymphalidae
Description: misc RNA ENSMCXG00005013689.1
Source: RNAcentral